GCCUCCUUAGCUUAGUGGUGAAGCAGGGGUUUUGUAAACCUCAGUCGUGAGUUCGAUUCUCACAGGAGGCU
Molecule: transfer RNA, 71 nt
Filed under: Candidatus Blackburnbacteria bacterium RIFCSPHIGHO2_01_FULL_43_15b
Lineage: Bacteria; Candidatus Blackburniibacteriota
Description: tRNA-Thr
Rfam family: tRNA
About the family: Transfer RNA (tRNA) molecules are approximately 80 nucleotides in length. Their secondary structure includes four short double-helical elements and three loops (D, anti-codon, and T loops).
Source: RNAcentral